This 121-nucleotide small RNA is filed under the name Klebsiella pneumoniae. Its description in RNAcentral is "RtT sRNA". It matches the Rfam family "RtT RNA". From Rfam's summary of the family: This family represents a bacterial cis-regulatory element known as RtT RNA. The exact function of RtT is unknown although it is thought that it may be involved in changing the cellular response in relation to amino acid starvation. Lineage: Bacteria; Pseudomonadati; Pseudomonadota; Gammaproteobacteria; Enterobacterales; Enterobacteriaceae. RNAcentral also lists the same sequence under 1 other name. The record is from RNAcentral.
UAUUCUGCCCCACGGGGAAGGAUGAGAAGGUUCGACUCGAGCGUAGCGAGAGAACGUGGCCGAAGGCAACGGCCCGAAGGGCGAGGCGCUUUAGCGCCGAGUCAUCCUUCCCCCACCGCUG